UGUAGUUAGGAUAUAGCGGGUUGGAUAAUGGAUGGAUGUAUUAGGGCCUUCCAAGCCAAAUGAAUAGCCAUGGCUGUGGAAUUUCCAUGUUGAUGGUGUGACCAUUUCAUAUUGUAACUAUCAUUUUUUUUAUGUCUGUAUUUAAUGUUGUGUCCAGGUUUCCAAAGGACUAUUUUGUGGUGUCUCUGUAUUUCAUCUUCGAGGCCCCCUUCAGUUUUAAUGAGUUGUGUCUCAACUUUAGUCGUCUCUUCUUUCAUUGUAGUAUUUGUAGAGGGAGGAUUAUAUCUGGUUGCUGGUUCCGAUUUUUGUCACCUUCUACAAUUUGUGCUGGAUAUUUGUGUUAUGUUUAACUUAUUUUAUUAUAUUUGUUUUUUUUUUAAUUUCAACAUACUGUCCAUAGUGGUUUUGAAGUUCCAGAAACGCCUACCUUUCAAAAUCCAGAUCAUUUAAAUGUAUGUUUAUAAUGGUUUGCAUAAAUAUUUUUGUAACAUUAAACUCCUUUUAACAACGUGACUCUGCUCAGUCCUCUUUAGAAUGACAUGCUGGCUUUGUGGAAGAGCUGGUGUAGAAUGUUACUUGAGAACUCCAGCACCAAGGGGUUUAGACUUUAUUGAGCCAUUAAUGAGAAAACAGAGUAAAGACUUGGCACUACAUCUGAAAUGAACAAAUGUCUUGCUAUUCUGUUCCAUAGCACUGCAUUCUGCAGAUUUCAGAUUUUUUAUUUCAGAAGAAACGUCCGCCUCCCUUCUCCAACAUCCAGCACAGGGCACUGAUGAGCAGCAGCAUGGAAUCCUUCAGCAUUUCACCGAGGCACAGAAGUGGUGUGCUGAGAACAUUUCUGUGUUCAGAGGGCGAAUCUCACUCCCUGCAUUACUGUCAAUGGACAAAGACGACACUGAGGAGGCCCUUCAGAAAUCUGAUUUGCUAUCUGAAUUUCCAGAAGAAGAGGAGAGAGAAUAUGUCUUUAGACAUAUUUUUUUCACAUAUGGAAGACAUGCAUCUGUUUUUAGAUAACGUGAGAGGAAACAGGAAAAUGACUGAGUUUUGUGAGAAAAUGUAACAAACAUACAUGUCCCUCAUUGUUCAGUUACAACCUACAGUUCUUGUUCUAUAUUUUAUAUAUUCUUUAACUUUUUUGUAAUAAAUGUUUCAAACCAACUUCAUCUUUACAGUCCAUUGUCUUAGUGUUAUGUAUUAAAAUAAUGUUUUAUAAAGCAGGGCAAGGCAAUAUUUAUUUAUAAACCACAUUUACAACAGCAGCCAGAACUGAACCAAAGUGCUGUACAAGAAAGGGUAAAAGAAGCAGUUCAAAUACACCGUAUGUACACAUCACAAAACUGCAAGAAUAACCAGCCAUUACAUAAAAGAUAAACUUACAAUACCCAUAUAUACAUAUUUAUAAUCCUGAAUGUACGUGAGCCAACAUAUACAAACAAUGUCAACCUCUUGCAGGGUCAAAUGGCAGCAAGAAGAAAUAAGACUUUAAUGAUGACUUAAAAAUGGCCUGUGAUGGAACAGACCUAAUAUAAUAAGGAGAGCCAUUCCAGAGAAAA
Erpetoichthys calabaricus (reedfish) is the source of this 1553-nucleotide long non-coding RNA. RefSeq lists it as uncharacterized. The record is from RefSeq and is a predicted model, not a curated record. The transcript is spliced from 3 exons. Lineage: Eukaryota; Metazoa; Chordata; Cladistia; Polypteriformes; Polypteridae.